RNAcentral lists this ribosomal RNA (167 nucleotides) under Cistanche sinensis. RNAcentral describes it as "5.8S ribosomal RNA". It matches the Rfam family "5.8S ribosomal RNA". Rfam says of the family: 5.8S ribosomal RNA (5.8S rRNA) is a component of the large subunit of the eukaryotic ribosome. It is transcribed by RNA polymerase I as part of the 45S precursor that also contains 18S and 28S rRNA. Lineage: Eukaryota; Viridiplantae; Streptophyta; Magnoliopsida; Lamiales; Orobanchaceae. The record is from RNAcentral.
AAAUGACUCUAGGCAACGGAUAUGUCGGAAGUCGUAUCGAUGAAGAACGAAGCGAAAUGCGAUACCUGGUGUGAAUUGCAGAAUCCCGUGAACCAUUGAGUCUUUGAAGGCAAGAAGCGCCCGAAGCCAUCCGAACAAGGGCACGUCUGCCUCGGCGUCACGCAAAG